Taeniopygia guttata (zebra finch) is the source of this 338-nucleotide long non-coding RNA. RefSeq lists it as uncharacterized. NCBI's taxonomy places the organism in Eukaryota, Metazoa, Chordata, Aves, Passeriformes, Estrildidae. The record is from RefSeq and is a predicted model, not a curated record.
GCCGGGGAUGGGCACAGCCUCCGCUCGCAGCGUUCCCCGGGAUGCCCGGCAGCGGCAGAGCUGCUCCUGAGGGGGGGUUUGGGUGAUCAUUCCAUGAGAAAGGGCUGCCGAGCUGUGCCCACUGCACCGAGGGGCUUUCCCAGCGCUGCCAUCCCGGGAAUUCCGUGCCAAGCCCGGCUCCUGCCGCUCCGGAGGGGCAGCACCAGGCGAGGGAGAGGCUGGGGCAGGACCGGAGCCCUCCCGGUGCCGGCUGCUUCCCCAAGCAGCUCUUUUUACCUUUUCCCAGUUUUUCUCUCCUCCACAUGCACUUUCCCUUGGAAUAAAUCGUUUCUGUGUUA